CAGCCGCCGCGGGAAUACGGAGGGAGCUAGCGUUGUUCGGAAUCACUGGGCGUAAAGCGCACGUAGGCGGCUAUUCAAGUCAGGGGUGAAAGCCCGGGGCUCAACCCCGGAACUGCCUUUGAAACUAGAUAGCUUGAAUCUUGGAGAGGCGAGUGGAAUUCCGAGUGUAGAGGUGAAAUUCGUAGAUAUUCGGAAGAACACCAGUGGCGAAGGCGACUCGCUGGACAAGUAUUGACGCUGAGGUGCGAAAGCGUGGGGAGCAAACAGGAUUAGAUACCCCCGUAGUCCCUGUCUCUUAUAC
Molecule: ribosomal RNA, 301 nt
Filed under: uncultured bacterium
Lineage: Bacteria
Description: partial 16S ribosomal RNA
Rfam family: Bacterial small subunit ribosomal RNA
Source: RNAcentral